UACGUAGGCAGCGAGCGUUGUUCGGAUUUACUGGGCGUAAAGAGUGCGUAGGCGGUUUUCUAAGUUUGGUGUGAAAUCUCCCGGCUUAACUGGGAGGGUGCGCCGAAAACUGGAAGGCUUGAGUAUGGGAGAGGUAAGCGGAAUUCCUGGUGUAGCGGUGAAAUGCGUAGAUAUCAGGAGGAACACCUGCGGUGUAGACGGCUUACUGGACCAUAACUGACGCUGAGGCACGAAAGCGUGGGUAGCAAACAGG
This 253-nucleotide ribosomal RNA is filed under the name uncultured bacterium. Its description in RNAcentral is "partial 16S ribosomal RNA". It matches the Rfam family "Bacterial small subunit ribosomal RNA", at positions 524 to 776 of the family's 1533-position model. The record is from RNAcentral.